Molecule: ribosomal RNA, 760 nt
Filed under: uncultured bacterium
Lineage: Bacteria
Description: bacterial SSU rRNA
Rfam family: Bacterial small subunit ribosomal RNA
Source: RNAcentral
UUAGAGUUUUGAUCCUGGCUCAGAUUGAACGCUGGCGGCGGCCUACACAUGCAGUCGAGCGGAUGAGAGGAGCUUGCCCCUUGAUUUAGCGGCGGGCGGGUGAGUAAUGCCUAGGAAUCUGCCUGGUAGUGGGGGAUAACGUCCGGAAACGGGCGCUAAUACCGCAUACGUCCUACGGGAGAAAGCAGGGGACCUUCGGGCCUUGCGCUAUCAGAUGAGCCUAGGUCGGAUUAGCUAGUUGGUGAGGUAAUGGCUCACCAAGGCGACGACCCGUAACUGGUCUGAGAGGAUGAUCAGUCACACUGGAACUGAGACACGGUCCAGACUCCUACGGGAGGCAGCAGUGGGGAAUAUUGGACAAUGGGCGAAAGCCUGAUCCAGCCAUGCCGCGUGUGUGAAGAAGGUCUUCGGAUUGUAAAGCACUUUAAGUUGGGAGGAAGGGCAGUAAGCUAAUACCUUGCUGUUUUGACGUUACCGACAGAAUAAGCACCGGCUAACUUCGUGCCAGCAGCCGCGGUAAUACGAAGGGUGCAAGCGUUAAUCGGAAUUACUGGGCGUAAAGCGCGCGUAGGUGGUUCGUUAAGUUGGAUGUGAAAUCCCCGGGCUCAACCUGGGAACUGCAUUCAAAACUGUCGAGCUAGAGUAUGGUAGAGGGUGGUGGAAUUUCCUGUGUAGCGGUGAAAUGCGUAGAUAUAGGAAGGAACACCAGUGGCGAAGGCGACCACCUGGACUGAUACUGACACUGAGGUGCGAAAGCGUG